GGGCAGGUGUUUUCCACUUUGUUCACUGCUCAAUCCCCAGCACCUGGAACAAGGCUCAGCACACCUAGAUGGCCUGCAGACAGGGAGCAGGGGAUCAUCUACACAUAUAUGAUGGGAGGUGCCUGAGGAAGACUGAGAAAACAAUUCUCUCAUCAGAUCACCCUUGAAUGGCUCAAAACAGGCCAUGAAAUUUAACAACAGGAUGGUGAAAACCAAGUGCAUGGAACAGAUUCCAGUGGAUCCUCUGCUGAGGAAGAGGAGAAAGGAAAUCCAUGGGGAAGGAGUCCCUCAGUGGAUGGGGCUGCCGUCUGGAAGGUGGCGAGCUCUGCGAGGCCCAAAGUCACCCCUGCUCGGCCCGCUGGGUCUUCGAAGUCCCUUCAAUUGAGAUUCGCCUACCCUUUCACUUCCUCUCUCUUACUUUCCCUUCACUGAAAAUAAUGGACAAGUGAUUUAAAGCGGGGGAAGAGCCCCUCUGAACCAUCCCAACUAUAAUUUACCAAUUACUAAGUGGUUUGUUGUUGCAAUUGUUUCAUUUUUUUUAGUUAUUAUUAUCUUGUGGGUUUUUUUUUUUUCCUUUAGAAAGACAAGUUAGAAAAUGGCUGUGGGAUGUAGGAUUUCCAAAUAAGUGUGUUCCUCCAGGCUUUUUCUGUGUCAUUAGAGCUCUAAAGGUCUAAUGUGGCCUUUAAAAUUUCAGUAAAAAAAUAACCCUCUGCCACCUGAUUUUUGAGUUUAUACUGAAUUUUUGUCUUUCUUUUAAAGAUAUUCCCUCUUCAUGUCCCCUACCUUUUAAUUUAAUCAACUUAAGGAAAAAUAAAAGAA
This is a long non-coding RNA of Ailuropoda melanoleuca (giant panda), 819 nucleotides long. RefSeq lists it as uncharacterized. The record is from RefSeq and is a predicted model, not a curated record. Lineage: Eukaryota; Metazoa; Chordata; Mammalia; Carnivora; Ursidae. The transcript is spliced from 3 exons.